UGGGGAAUCUUCCGCAAUGGACGAAAGUCUGACGGAGCAACGCCGCGUGAGUGAUGACGGCCUUCGGGUUGUAAAGCUCUGUUAAUCGGGACGAAUGGUUCUUGUGCGAAUAGUGCAAGGAUUUGACGGUACCGGAAUAGAAAGCCACGGCUAACUACGUGCCAGCAGCCGCGGUAAUACGUAGGUGGCAAGCGUUGUCCGGAAUUAUUGGGCGUAAAGCGCGCGCAGGCGGAUUGGUCAGUCUGUCUUAAAAGUUCGGGGCUUAACCCCGUGAUGGGAUGGAAACUGCCAAUCUAGAGUAUCGGAGAGGAAAGUGGAAUUCCUAGUGUAGCGGUGAAAUGCGUAGAUAUUAGGAAGAACACCAGUGGCGAAGGCGACUUUCUGGACGAAAACUGACGCUGAGGCGCGAAAGCCAGGGGAGCGAACGGG
This 429-nucleotide ribosomal RNA is filed under the name bacterium. Its description in RNAcentral is "partial 16S ribosomal RNA". It matches the Rfam family "Bacterial small subunit ribosomal RNA", at positions 355 to 776 of the family's 1533-position model. RNAcentral also lists the same sequence under 1 other name. The record is from RNAcentral.